UAUCUGGUUGAUCCUGGCCAGUAGUCAUAUGCUUGUCUCAAAAGAUUAAGCCAUGCAUGUCUAAGUACAAACCUUAAUACGGUGAAACCGCGAAUGGCUCAUUAAAUCAGCUAUGGUUCCUUAGAUCGUCUCAUCCUACUCUCGAUAACUGUGGAAAAUCCUAGAGCUAAUACGUGCUUACAAGCCCUGACCUCCACGGGAGGGCGCAUUUAUUAGAUCAAAACCAAUCGGGGCUUGCCCCGUCUGCUUGGUGACUCUGGAUAAAUUUUGUGCUGAUUGGCAUGGCCUCUGGCGCUGGCGACGUAUCUUUCAAGUGUCUCGCCCUAGUCACUUACGAUGGUAGGUGAUGGUAUGCGCUACAUGGUUAUAACGGUAACGGGAAUCAGGGUUCGAUUCCGGAGAGGGAGCUGAGAAACGGCUACCACAUCUAAGGAAGGGAGCAGCAGCGCGCAAAUUACCCACUCCCAGCACGGGGAGGUAGUGACGAAAAUAACCGGAUACUUUGAGGACUCUUUUGAGGCCGUAAUUGGAAUGAGUACACUUUAAAUCCGUUAACGAAGUAUCUAUUGGAGGGCAAGUCUGGUGCCAGCAGCCUGCGGUAAUUCCAGCUCCAAUAGCGUAUAUUAAUGUUGCUGCAGUUAAAAAGCUCGUAGUUUGAGAUCUGAGGACUCGAAUUGGUGGUGCACGCACCAUACGGUGUUACUGCCGAUUCGCCUACCUAGUCGGUGCUCGCUCUUGGUGUUCUUAAUUGUAAUGCCCUGAGUGCCCGGCAAGUUUACUUUGAAAAAAUUAGAGUGGCUCAAAGCAGGCCAUUAGCCGGAAUACUUCAGGCAUGGAAUAAUGGAAUAGGACUUCGGUUCUAUUGUUGUGGUGGUUUUCGGAACCCGAGGUAAAUGAUUAAGAGACAGACGGGGGCAUUCGUACUGCGGUGUUAGAGGUGAACUUCUGGAUCGCCGCAAGACGAAAACUGCGAAAGCAUUUGCCAAGAAUGUUUUCAUUAAUCAAGAACGAAAGUCAGAUGGUUCGAAGACGAUCAGAUACCGUCCUAGUUCUGACCAUAAACGAUGCCAACUGGCGAUCCCGAGAUCGUUUGCUUAUUGACCUCUCGGCAGCCUCCGGGAAACCAAAGUUUUUAGGUUCCGGGGAAGUAUGGUUCAAAGCUGGAACUUAAAGGAAUUGCGGAAAGGGCACCACAGGAGUGGAGCUGCGCUUAAUUUGACUCAACACGGAAAAGCUCACCCGGCCCGGACACUGUUAGAUUGACAGAUUGAGAGCUCUUUCUUGAUUCGGUGGUGUGUGCAUGGCCGUUCUUAGUUGGUGAGCCGAUUUGUCUGGUUAAUUCCGAUAAGCGAACGAGACUCUAGCCUGCUAAUAUACGCCGAUACCUUUUCGUCGGUGCUGACUUCUUAGAGGGACAAGCGGUCUUGAAGACGCACGAGAUUGAGCAAUAGACAGGUCUGUGAUGCCUUAGAUGGUUCGGGGCGCACGCGCGCUACACUGAAGGGGACAGCGAGUUUUUUCUGGUUCGAAGAACCGGGGUAAGUUCUGUUGAAUUCCCUUCGUGACAGGGAUCGGGGGUCUUCAAUUAUCCCCCCGUGGAGGAUUCCAGUACGCAAGUCUCACUUGCGUUGAUUACGUCCUGCCCUUGUACAACACCGCCCGUCGCUAUUCUACCGAUUGAAAUGGUUUAGCAAGGUCCCUCUCGGAUUGGUGCCGACUUGGUGGCAAACACUAGGCUCGGAUUACUGAAAAGAAGAUCAAACUUGAUCAAUUUAGAGGAAGUAAAAGUCGUAACAAGGUUUCUGUAGGUGAACCUGCGGAAGGUCAUUA
Non-coding RNA from Macrostomum lignano, 1830 nucleotides. Lineage: Eukaryota; Metazoa; Platyhelminthes; Macrostomidae. The record is from Rfam.